UUCUUCAUGGAUAUUUAAGCGGUUUGAAAAGUUCUUUUUCAUAUAAUUGGUGAUUCUAGAGUGGCCGCUUUUAAGGGUUUGUGAAAUCGUCACCUGGGGUAGAGUAGGGGAUGGCGACAUCCAUGGGAAGGGCAUGGACAUGGAGACGAAUAUUAGGUGAGUUUUGAAGAGGUUAAGAAAGAGCUUAAUAUGGUUCCAUCGAUUCUUUAACAAUCUCUUGCUCGCCGGAUAUAUGAAAUAUGCUAAUGCGGCUGAAGCUUCUAUUAACGAACAAAUUGAGAUCUUCAUGCGGUGAUGAAUGAAGCUUUUGUCUACAAAUCUUCAUGUGGUGAAGGCGCUUUCCAGGGAUAUUGGCGAGGAAUGAUAAGAAUGGAAUGUUUAUUUCAUUUCAAGUUUUAUGUGAACAUUGUUAAAUAUUAUAUAAUUUACUUUGGGUAACCGGUGUAGUGACAAUAAACAAAAGUUAAGGGCAAUCACUUUCUAGAGUUGGUUUGUACUUGAAACAAUCCGUCUUCUCUCAUGGUCAAUUGUAUGU
Molecule: long non-coding RNA, 535 nt
Filed under: Helianthus annuus (common sunflower)
Lineage: Eukaryota; Viridiplantae; Streptophyta; Magnoliopsida; Asterales; Asteraceae
Description: sRNA HanXRQr2_Chr13g0573491
Source: RNAcentral